Sus scrofa (pig) is the source of this 1456-nucleotide non-coding RNA. Lineage: Eukaryota; Metazoa; Chordata; Mammalia; Artiodactyla; Suidae. The record is from RefSeq and is a predicted model, not a curated record.
AACUUCCAUAUGACAUGGUUGCAGCCCUAAAAAGCCAAAAAAAAAAAAAAAAAGUCCUUGACAAGAAGGGACGCUGCCCUGGUGCUCUGCGUGGAAUGAGAAGGCAGCCUCGGUCUCCAGUCAAGCCUGUCCCGCCCAAUGAGUAAGCCUCCACAGCCCUGGUGGCUUCCUUGUGACUCUCUGGCCAUGAGGGAGGCACGAGUGCAGUGCUAAUGGGCAUCAUCUUCUCCGAGCGUGGCCACACUCGGGUGGGCCCAUCCCCCAGCCUCAGGAGCACACGUUCAUCCCAGCCGGACCCCCAACCCCACCGAUGAUGCUCUUGAUCCUACAGACCCGGUGGGAGACCUCGACAGACAGACAGAAUACCCCCAGAGAGCAGGUAGCCAUCCUAGCCAUCCUCCCAUCUCCAGGGUGGGAGACCCUGGGGCUCAAUCCCCCCGUCAUGUCUGGUUCCACGUCGCCUGGCAGAGCAAGUGGGUGUGUGUUCACGGAGCAGGCGCAGCCACGCCCCCGGAGAGGCGGAACCCUCCUCCGAGAGCAGCCUCGAUUUCCCUGCCUUCCCCCAGCGGGACAUCCUCACAGACCCGAAGGGGCGGCCCCCAUCAGCUCAUGGGAAUGGCCCCACAGAGAAGGGAGUGUUUGCGCAGAGCAAACAGAAAUGCCUUCAUGGAUGAGGGACAUGCAGCCAGAACACAGGCGGAAAGAUCUGCCACGAGAGAGGUGAAAAUGCCCCCCGCUGAGAAGGUAGGAGGACGUCAAAAGAGCAGGUGGGAGUGCCCCAAAGCAUGAUGGGAGCCUCCCACGGUCGAUACAGCAUCCCAUGGACUGGUCCCCUAACUCCUAGGGACAAGGUGGGGGGCAGAGACUUCCUCAGAACUUCUAGAACAUGGCAAGCCCUUAAUAGUUCACCUAAUUAAUCAAUGAGUUAAUCAAUGAACCACCGAGGAAGAGCUUGGGGGUGGUUUUAACACCCCAAGGUGUUGGGGGGCGGGGCACAGCUGGACCUUCUGGUCCGGCGCCUCCCUCAUUAAAAUCCCGAGGCCUCGUUGCAGGGCAUCUCAGCAACGCCACCCUGUGAGGAGGCAUUGUUCUCAUCUCAUUUUUCAGAUGAGGCUCUGGAAGGGACGUGCUGGGCUGCACCCGAAUCCAGCGUCCGCAGGAGCCAGGAGGCUGCCCUGAACCUGCUCUUUGGGUUUUCACCCUCCUUCUCCCACAAGGAUAGAGUGGAAUUUUCCAGAGACUACGUGAUGUCUGAUAUGGUAACCCACUGAAUGCGGAAACAGAUGUGGGGAGAUUCAGUUGGGGUCUAUUCAUCCAGUUAUUAAAGAAAGUUGCAACAAUGCAAAACGAUGUUAUUUUUCCUCACCAAAUGUUUUUAGCUUUGGGAAAUAUAUUUAAUUUUUCAUAAAAAAUAUCCUUAUUAUUUUAAAUGAAUUGAUAAAUGUUUUUAACUGUU